CCUACGGGGUGCAGCAGUGGGGAAUAUUGGACAAUGGGCGAAAGCCUGAUCCAGCCAUGCCGCGUGUGUGAAGAAGGCCUUCGGGUUGUAAAGCACUUUCAGUGGGGAAGAAAGCCUUGGGGCUAAUACCCUCGAGGAAGGACAUCACCCACAGAAGAAGCACCGGCUAACUCCGUGCCAGCAGCCGCGGUAAUACGGAGGGUGCGAGCGUUAAUCGGAAUUACUGGGCGUAAAGCGCGCGUAGGCGGUCUGAUAAGCCGGUUGUGAAAGCCCCGGGCUCAACCUGGGAACGGCAUCCGGAACUGUCAGGCUAGGGUGCAGGAGAGGAAGGUAGAAUUCCCGGUGUAGCGGUGAAAUGCGUAGAGAUCGGGAGGAAUACCAGUGGCGAAGGCGGCCUUCUGGACUGACACUGACGCUGAGGUGCGAAAGCGUGGGUAGCAAACAGGAUUAGAUACCCUUGUAGUC
This 465-nucleotide ribosomal RNA is filed under the name Vreelandella stevensii. RNAcentral's name for it is "partial 16S ribosomal RNA". It matches the Rfam family "Bacterial small subunit ribosomal RNA", at positions 338 to 795 of the family's 1533-position model. Lineage: Bacteria; Pseudomonadati; Pseudomonadota; Gammaproteobacteria; Oceanospirillales; Halomonadaceae. The record is from RNAcentral.